Molecule: non-coding RNA, 73 nt
Organism: Hippocampus zosterae (dwarf seahorse)
Lineage: Eukaryota; Metazoa; Chordata; Actinopteri; Syngnathiformes; Syngnathidae
Source: the annotation of a RefSeq genome assembly
ACUAAAAUAGCUCAGUUGGUAGAGCGUUCGACUGAAAAUCUAAAGGUCCCUUGUUCAACCCCGGGUUUUGGCA